RNAcentral lists this long non-coding RNA (337 nucleotides) under Carica papaya (papaya). RNAcentral describes it as "long non-coding RNA (CPAP_LNC003353)". Lineage: Eukaryota; Viridiplantae; Streptophyta; Magnoliopsida; Brassicales; Caricaceae. The record is from RNAcentral.
UAUGUAUUUAUGGUUGAUUUGGUGACGGAGACUAAGGACAAACAGGAAUGGGAUCUGAUCUGAUAAAUGGAUAAGGUGAUAGCCUCACUAGAUAUCUUGGGAGAUGGUGGACGGACCGAGUUCAUAGAGAACUACCGUGAACAUUGUCUCAUACCGAACGAGGUAUGGAGAUUUGGUCAUUUGGCGCUCAUACCUGACGGGGUAUAGGGACGGCCCUGGAAUUAAGAAUGUUAAGAAGAAUGGUUCACGUGUAGCGGGGACACCCCUAUGGAUCCCCAUGGAUAUUAGUGGACCGGUGAAAACGAGAAACGGUAAUAAUAAGUUAUUGUUAAUGAAU